AUUGAACGCUGGCGGCAUGCCUUACACAUGCAAGUCGAACGGCAGCACGGGAGCAAUCCUGGUGGCGAGUGGCGAACGGGUGAGUAAUAUAUCGGAACGUGCCCAGUCGUGGGGGAUAACGCAGCGAAAGCUGUGCUAAUACCGCAUACGAUCUAAGGAUGAAAGCGGGGGAUCGCAAGACCUCGCGCGAUUGGAGCGGCCGAUAUCAGAUUAGCUAGUUGGUGGGGUAAAGGCCCACCAAGGCGACGAUCUGUAGCUGGUCUGAGAGGACGACCAGCCACACUGGAACUGAGACACGGUCCAGACUCCUACGGGAGGCAGCAGUGGGGAAUAUUGGACAAUGGGGGCAACCCUGAUCCAGCGAUGCCACGUGUGUGAAGAAGGCCUUAGGGUUGUAAAGCACUUUUGUUAGUGAGGAAGGUUGUUACUGCGAAUAGUGGUAAUGAUUGACGUUAGCUAAAGAAAAAGCACCGGCUAACUCUGUGCCAGCCGCCGCCGUAA
RNAcentral lists this ribosomal RNA (501 nucleotides) under uncultured bacterium. RNAcentral describes it as "partial 16S ribosomal RNA". It matches the Rfam family "Bacterial small subunit ribosomal RNA", at positions 30 to 523 of the family's 1533-position model. The record is from RNAcentral.